This 253-nucleotide ribosomal RNA is filed under the name uncultured bacterium. RNAcentral describes it as "partial 16S ribosomal RNA". It matches the Rfam family "Bacterial small subunit ribosomal RNA", at positions 524 to 776 of the family's 1533-position model. The record is from RNAcentral.
UACGGAGGGUGCAAGCGUUGUCCGGAUUUAUUGGGUUUAAAGGGUGCGUAGGCGGCUGAUUAAGUCAGCGGUGAAAUUCCACAGCUCAACUGUGGAACUGCCAUUGAUACUGGUUAGCUUGAGUACAGAUGAGGUAGGCGGAAUUGACAGUGUAGCGGUGAAAUGCUUAGAUAUUGUCAAGAACACCUAUUGCGAAGGCAGCUUACUAAGCUGUAACUGACGCUGAGGCACGAAAGCGUGGGGAGCAAACAGG